AGGGUCAUCAGUGAGAAGCCUAAAUUUCCUGGGGUUUUUGCUUCUGGCGAAUUUACAUCCAUUGAAAUACAUACUCCAUGAACAGCCAAAUGAGAACGAUGCUCCACAUGUUUCUGGAUCAAGUCCCUGACAUGCACAUGUACGGUCUUCAUUCAGUGCACAUCUGCGGCUCGUGGGACAGCCGUAUUUUCUGAGGCUCUGCGUCAGCUCUUUGUACAGCGUAUCAGCCAGGAGAUGAGGGAUCCCCUCCCACGCCAGUAUGAGAAUCACUAUGACAGCAGUCUGACAGUGGUGUCCCGCACGCUGACGUACCAAGCAUAGCAACUUCUCCUCAUCACUACUUCUUCGUAUCACCCACUUGGCAAUCGGACACCCCUGAGAGCUUUUUCCUUCCUUUCCUGUAUAAACGACUACCUCUAUUCUCACAGCGCUUCCUUUUGCUCCAUACCUGUUCUCCAUUAUUUCUC
This 467-nucleotide long non-coding RNA is filed under the name Gallus gallus (chicken). The record is from RNAcentral. Lineage: Eukaryota; Metazoa; Chordata; Aves; Galliformes; Phasianidae.